Molecule: RNA transcript, 1774 nt
Organism: Quercus robur (English oak)
Lineage: Eukaryota; Viridiplantae; Streptophyta; Magnoliopsida; Fagales; Fagaceae
Gene name: vacuolar protein sorting-associated protein 52 A-like
Exons: 6
Source: RefSeq, a predicted model, not a curated record
GAGCUCGAGUACCAUGUUUUUUUAAUCCACCCUGGCCUGCUGACAUGUGAGGUACACAGCCCUAAAAACACACUAUUAUCUCUCACUUCUCACUCUCACCUACCCAGAACACACUCUCACUCUCACUUACACCUAAACAUACAAACCCCAAACCCUCACACCAUCGGCGGCAGAAAACCAGUCGGCGUCAGAAGACUUUCGUCGGCGGCGACCUCUCAGCUCUCUCACUGUCUUAAGAGACUGAAACGACGUCGUUGUGAUCUGUUUCGCGUAUCGAUGAUGGUCGGGGGAGUGGAAUCGUGGUCUCCGUCGCCGUCGCCGCCUGAGGGAAGAGGGGAAGGGAAAGCGGUGGUUGUUGGAGGAGCGAUGGUAAUGGACUUUCCGUUGGAUGACAGUGGUGCGACGGCGUUUUCGUCCUCCUCUUCUUCUUCGCCCUUUCUCCACCCAAAUUGCCUCGCAGGCUUCGCCGGAGACUCUCGGAGUCUAAGUCUCCGCAGAACUGUACUGUCGAAGAUAUCGAAGCGAAGCUCCGCCACGCCGAUCUUCGCCGCCAGCAAUGCGAUGGGAAAUUGUCAAACAAGGCUCGAGCAAAGCCCAGAAGCCCAUCACGGUCCUCAUCUAAUGAGGAAGAUCUUGGUUAGCGCCUUGAAGCGAAGCUCCAAGCUGCUGAGCAGAAGAGUGAUGAUAUAUCUUUGGAUGGACUAGAGCAAGAACUGGAAGAAUGCAAAAAUGACGAUGUAGUUGCAAACAUACUAUUUGAAGGUACAAAAUUAAGGGAGUAUACAAAGGGGGUUGAGAACAAUUUACGGAAAGUUGAAUUGGACUCGAUUCAGGAUUACAUAAAAGAAAGCGAUAAUUUAGUGUCGCUUCAUGAUCAAAUUCGUGAAUGUGAUAGAAUCUUGUCACAGAUGGAAACUCUCCUCAGUGGAUUUCAAGUUGAAAUUGGUUCCAUAAGUUCAGACAUAAAAGUCCUCCAAGAGAAGUCUAUGGAUAUGGGCCUGAAGCUUAAGAAUCGUAAGGUAUCAUUGUUUGUAUGAGUAGCUCCGCUUCAUUGUUUGUUUGGAGUUUAAAUUUUGAGAACCACAGAAACAUGCUUGUAUAUCUAUUAGAUGUUAAUGACCACUAGUUAGUAAAACAAAAACAUCAGAAAAAUUGUAUUUGUUUGAAGUUCCUCUUGGGGGUUAUAUGUGCUUUUUCAAUGAUAUUUUGUGGCAACAAUUUCUCAGCAGGGGAUAAAGCUAGCUGAGUAAUGAUUCUUCAAUUGGUGAUUUGUGAUAUGACCUAGUUGGAUUGCAUUCCUUGUCUUUUUCAAUGACAAGUUUCUUUCUCUUUUAGAUUUAUGCAGUUUUUGUAAUUGAUUGUCUACACCAGUAUAUCUCCUGUAUACUUGGGUGACUCUUUUUUCUGAUUUAUAUAAUCUUAUUACUUAUCAAAAAAGAAAGGGUACCAUUUUUGAAUUAUUAUUGAGCUGUUUGUUUUUGUGCUGUGAUAACAUUUUACUUCUUUUUGGAGUUAAAAGAACACAACCGAAAAAAGUGUGAAAAUGUGGGGAAAAACUUUUUCGAAGUUUUUCUAUCUGAACAAUUUUCCUGGAAGUGGGCCAUUUGAGUAAUGCCAAAGUGACAUCUCUAAAUUAUUGUUCUAUAAACCUUUCCGUUUUUCUUAUGAUUGUUCUAUGUUCUAUAAACAUUCGGCAGAAUCAAAAUUGGCAAAGUUUGUCGAAGACAUUAUAGUCCCUCCAAGGAUGGUUGACAUAGUCGUUGACGGAGAGGUA